Molecule: long non-coding RNA, 482 nt
Filed under: Phoenix dactylifera (date palm)
Lineage: Eukaryota; Viridiplantae; Streptophyta; Magnoliopsida; Arecales; Arecaceae
Description: long non-coding RNA (PDAC_LNC018637)
Source: RNAcentral
AAGCCAACGCGAUCCACAUCGGAAGAACCACCAUUUUCCACGCUUCCAACGGCUAAAAGGGUUCUUCCGGGUUUUAGUAUUUCUCAUUGUUAUAUUUGCUUCUUAAGAGCUUUCAAAUCUUUUGUAAAACAUUGAUUAUUGUGCUUGUUCUAGUCAAGGGACUUGGAACAAGGGAUAGGCGUCCCAAGCCUAGGUUAAAUUGGGGGUUGUAGGGUUCGUUGUUAGCCCGGUGUAAAACAACGAGUUGGGUAGUGCACUCGCAAAACUACCGGACUGUAAUCGCGGAUUAUAGUAAAAUUUCCAAAGGUAUUUGGGGAGUGGAUGUAGGAGCAGUGGAAGCUCCGAACUACUAUAAAUCGUUGUGUUUGCGAUUGACUGUGCGUAUAGCUUUAACUUUACUUUAGCACAUACACUUGUGUGUAUUUGUUUUAAUUAGUCAAAAAGUUUUAAAACACCCAAUUUACCCCCCUCUUGGGUGACCA